RNAcentral lists this ribosomal RNA (500 nucleotides) under uncultured bacterium. Its description in RNAcentral is "partial 16S ribosomal RNA". It matches the Rfam family "Bacterial small subunit ribosomal RNA", at positions 29 to 523 of the family's 1533-position model. The record is from RNAcentral.
AUUGAACGCUGGCGGCAUGCCUUACACAUGCAAGUCGAACGGCAGCGCGGGCUUCGGCCUGGCGGCGAGUGGCGGACGGGUGAGUAAUGCAUCGGAACGUGCCCAGGAGUGGGGGAUAACGUAGCGAAAGUUACGCUAAUACCGCAUACGUACUGAGGUAGAAAGCGGGGGAUCGAAAGACCUCGCGCUCAUGGAGCGGCCGAUGUCGGAUUAGCUAGUUGGCGGGGUAAAAGCCCACCAAGGCGACGAUCCGUAGCUGGUCUGAGAGGACGACCAGCCACACUGGGACUGAGACACGGCCCAGACUCCUACGGGAGGCAGCAGUGGGGAAUCUUGGACAAUGGGGGAAACCCUGAUCCAGCAAUGCCGCGUGUGGGAUGAAGGCCCUCGGGUUGUAAACCACUUUUGGCAGGAAAGAAAUCGCCUGUGCUAAUACCACGGGCGGAUGACGGUACCUGCAGAAUAAGCACCGGCUAACUACGUGCCAGCCGCCGCGGUAA